This 427-nucleotide ribosomal RNA is filed under the name uncultured bacterium. Its description in RNAcentral is "bacterial SSU rRNA". It matches the Rfam family "Bacterial small subunit ribosomal RNA", at positions 355 to 774 of the family's 1533-position model. The record is from RNAcentral.
UGGGGAAUUUUUCGCAAUGGGGGAAACCCUGACGAAGCAACGCCGCGUGGAGGAUGAAGGCCUUCGGGUCGUAAACUCCUGUCGACCGGGAAGAAUGCACCUGACCUAAUACGUCGGCGUGUUGACUGUACCGGUGGAGGAAGCCACGGCUAACUCUGUGCCAGCAGCCGCGGUAAUACAGAGGUGGCAAGCGUUGUUCGGAAUUACUGGGCGUAAAGGGCGCGUAGGCGGCCCGUCAAGUCCCGUGUGAAAGCCCCCGGCUCAACCGGGGAACUGCACGGGAAACUAGCAGGCUUGAGUUCGGGAGAGGGAAGCGGAAUUUCGGGUGUAGCGGUGAAAUGCGCAGAUAUCCGAAGGAACACCGGUGGCGAAGGCGGCUUCCUGGACCGACACUGACGCUGAGGCGCGAAAGCUAGGGGAGCAAACG